GGGGGGAUAUUGCACAAUGGGCGAAAGCCUGAUGCAGCGACGCCGCGUGGGGGAUGAAGGCCUUCGGGUUGUAAACUUCUUUUGCUCUGAACAAGGCGCACCAUGGGGUGUGUUGAGUGUAGGGGUUGAUUAGCGCCGGCUAACUACGUGCCAGCAGCCGCGGUAAUACGUAGGGCGCGAGCGUUGUCCGGAAUUAUUGGGCGUAAAGGGCUUGUAGGUGGCUGGUUGCGUCUGUCGUGAAAGCUCAUGGCUUAACUGUGGGUUUGCGGUGGGUACGGGCUGGCUUGAGUGCAGUAGGGGAGGCUGGAAUUCCUGGUGUAGCGGUGGAAUGCGCAGAUAUCAGGAGGAAUACCGGUGGCGAAGGCGGGGCUCUGGGCUGUUACUGACACUGAGGAGCGAAAGCAUGGGGAGCGAACAGG
RNAcentral lists this ribosomal RNA (419 nucleotides) under bacterium. Its description in RNAcentral is "partial 16S ribosomal RNA". It matches the Rfam family "Bacterial small subunit ribosomal RNA", at positions 355 to 776 of the family's 1533-position model. The record is from RNAcentral.